Molecule: ribosomal RNA, 562 nt
Filed under: Apatemon sp. j BP-2022
Lineage: Eukaryota; Metazoa; Platyhelminthes; Trematoda; Diplostomida; Strigeidae
Description: partial large subunit ribosomal RNA
Source: RNAcentral
GAGAGAGUAAACAGUGCGUGAAACCGCUCAGAGGUAAACGGGUGGAGUUGAACUGUAAGCUCCGGGAAUUCAGCUGGUGAGUGUGUCAUGGGCUUGGUCAUUUUCGGCCGGCCUCUGGAGUCCGCUUAGCUGCGGGUCCUUGCUUCUUCGGGAGUAGGGAUGUGCGUUGCGCUUGUCAAGUGCUGUGCGCUCUGGAGGUUGCCGGGCUGGCUCGCCAGUGCACUUUCUCGGAGUGGUCACCACGACCGACGUUGUUGUCUUGCUGCUGUGGUCGAACCGGCUGGGUUUGGUCCUUGUGGCUGAACUUGGUUGGGAUGGCAGGUAGCUCAUUGAUUGGCUUGUCCAGUCUCUGGGUGUAAUCAGCUGGCUGCAGUAGUAUUGUGCAAUGCGUCGGAGACGGCGGCUUUAGAUAUUUGCUUUCGUGCCGUUGAUCGGCAGUGUUGAGUUUGAUUGGCGUGUUACCUGCUUCGGUGGGUCCGUCGAUAGCUCAGUGCUGUUCGGUUAGCGGUUGCUUGAGUGAUAUCGUACAUGGGCCUAUAGUCUGUGGUGUAGCAGCAAACGA